Molecule: ribosomal RNA, 235 nt
Filed under: uncultured bacterium
Lineage: Bacteria
Description: partial 16S ribosomal RNA
Rfam family: Bacterial small subunit ribosomal RNA
Source: RNAcentral
UGGCGGACGGGUGAGUAAUGUCUGGGAAACGGCUCGAUGGAGGGGGAUAACUACUGGAAACGGUAGCUAAUACCGCAUAACGUCGCAAGACCAAAGAGGGGGACCUUAGGGCCUCUUGCCAUCGGAUGUGCCCAGAUGGGAUUAGCUAGUAGGUGGGGUAACGGCUCACCUAGGCGACGAUCCCUAGCUGGUCUGAGAGGAUGACCAGCCACACUGGAACUGAGACACGGUCCAG